UUUCCGGUUGAUCCUGCCGGAGGCCUUUGCUAUCGGAGUCCGAUUUAGCCAUGCUAGUCGAGCGAGUUCAGACUCGCGGCACCGAGCUCAGUAACACGUGGCCAAACUACCCUACAGAGACGGAUACCCUCGGGAAACUGAGGUUAACCCGUCAUAUCGAUCUCAGGCUUGAAUCGCAGAGACCGACAAACGCUCCGGCGCUGCAGGAUGCGGCUGCGGCCGAUUAGGUAGACGGUGGGGUAACGGCCCACCGUGCCCAUAAUCAGUACAGGUUGUGAGAGCGAGAACCCGGAGACGGAAUCUGAGACAAGAUUCCGGGCCCUACGGGGCGCAGCAGGCGCGAAACCUUUACACUGCACGCACGUGCGAUAAGGGGACUCCGAGUGCGAGGGCAUAUCGUCCUCGCUUUCGUGUACCGUAGGGUGGUACACCAACAAGGGCUGGGCAAGACCGGUGCCAGCCGCCGCGGUAAUACCGGCAGCCCGAGUGAUGACCGAUCUUAUUGGGCCUAAAGCGUCCGUAGCUGGCUGCGCAAGUCCGUCGGGAAAUCCACUCGCCCAACGAGUGGGCGUCCGACGGAAACUGCACAGCUUGGGACCGGAAGGCUCGAAGGGUACGUGCGGGGUAGGAGUGAAAUCCCAUAAUCCCGCACGGACCACCGAUGGCGAAAGCACUUCGAGAAAACGGAUCCGACAGUGAGGGACGAAAGCCAGGGUCUCCAACCGGAUUAGAUACCCGGGUAGUCCUGGCCGUAAACGAUGUCUGCUAGGUGUGGCACAGGCUACGAGUCUCUGUUGUGCCGUAGGGAAGCCGAGAAGCAGACCGCCUGGGAAGUACGUCUGCAAGGAUGAAACUUAAAGGAAUUGGCGGGGGAGCACUACAACCGGAGGAGCCUGCGGUUUAAUUGGACUCAACGCCGGAA
RNAcentral lists this ribosomal RNA (922 nucleotides) under uncultured archaeon. Its description in RNAcentral is "bacterial SSU rRNA". It matches the Rfam family "Archaeal small subunit ribosomal RNA", at positions 1 to 923 of the family's 1478-position model. The record is from RNAcentral.